UUGCAAGCACUGGAAACUGGAGGUUUCAGUCUGCAGAGUAGUUACAGCAUGGCCAUCGACACUGCAGGUUUCUCCAGACUUGCCCCACCAAUGUGCCUCAAGCCAGAUUUGGAGCAAUGACCUUUGUGGAAGGGGGUUUCGUUCUUUUUUCCCACUUACUCCUUUCCAUCU
This 171-nucleotide small RNA is filed under the name Gopherus agassizii (Agassiz's desert tortoise). RNAcentral describes it as "TUC338 (ENSGAGG00000025421.1)". Lineage: Eukaryota; Metazoa; Chordata; Testudines; Testudinidae. The record is from RNAcentral.